RNAcentral lists this unclassified non-coding RNA (253 nucleotides) under uncultured Acidimicrobiia bacterium. Its description in RNAcentral is "contains 16S-23S intergenic spacer region". It matches the Rfam family "Bacterial small subunit ribosomal RNA", at positions 524 to 776 of the family's 1533-position model. Lineage: Bacteria; Bacillati; Actinomycetota; Acidimicrobiia. The record is from RNAcentral.
UACAGAGACUGCAAGCGUUGUUCGGAUUUAUUGGGCGUAAAGAGCUCGUAGGCGGCUUGGUUAGUCGGACGUGAAAUCUCCUGGCUCAACUGGAGGGGCCGUUCGAUACUGCCAUGGCUAGAGUCCGGUAGAGGAGUGUGGAAUUCCCGGUGUAGCGGUGAAAUGCGCAGAUAUCGGGAGGAACACCUACAGCGAAGGCAGCACUCUGGGCCGGCACUGACGCUGAGGAGCGAAAGCGUGGGGAGCAAACAGG